RNAcentral lists this ribosomal RNA (253 nucleotides) under uncultured bacterium. RNAcentral describes it as "partial 16S ribosomal RNA". It matches the Rfam family "Bacterial small subunit ribosomal RNA", at positions 524 to 776 of the family's 1533-position model. The record is from RNAcentral.
UACGUAGGGGGCAAGCGUUGUCCGGAAUCAUUGGGCGUAAAGCGCGUGUAGGCGGCUCGGUAAGUCUGCUGUGAAAGUCCAGGGCUCAACCCUGGGAUGCCGGUGGAUACUGUCGGGCUAGAGUGCGGAAGAGGCGAGUGGAAUUCCUGGUGUAGCGGUGAAAUGCGCAGAUAUCAGGAGGAACACCUAUUGCGAAGGCAGCUCGCUGGGACGUAACUGACGCUGAGACGCGAAAGCGUGGGGAGCAAACAGG